RNAcentral lists this long non-coding RNA (4244 nucleotides) under Homo sapiens (human). Its description in RNAcentral is "non-protein coding PEG13:1". The record is from RNAcentral. Lineage: Eukaryota; Metazoa; Chordata; Mammalia; Primates; Hominidae.
UGCAGCUGCGCACUGAGACCUAGCUGAGUGUCUUACCCUGCGGUGGCGACGGAGAACCCCGGUGGGCGUGUUUACCCUGUGAAUGGCCUAGCGCUGCUAAAGCCCCGCACUGAGACGUAGCUGGGUGUCCUCCCCUGUGCACGGCUGUGGAGGAUCUGGGCGGACGUUGUUACUUUGUGGAUCGCGGGAAUGCUGUAGCUGCGCACUGAGACCUACCUGGGUGUCCUCCCCUGUGCACGGCUGCGGAGGAUCUGGGCGGGCGUCAUUACUUUGUGGAUCGCGGGAUUGCUGCAGCUGCGCACUUACAUCUAGCUGGUGUCUUCCCCUGCGGACAGCUGCGGAGGACCUGGGUGGGCGUCAUUACUUUGUGCAUAGCAGGAAUGCCGCAGCUGCGCACUGAGACCUAGCUGGUGUCGUCCUCUGCGGACGGCUGCAGAGGAUGAGAGGAGGGAGGAGGCGUCGUUACUUUGUGCAUCGCGGGGAUGCUGAAGCCAUGCACUGAGACCUAACUGGGUGUCCCCACCCAGUGGACGGCUGCGGAGAACCCGGGCGGGCGUCAUUAUACUGCGGGGGCGGGCGUCAUUAUACUGUGGAAGGUGGUGCUGCGGGAACUGUACAGAGACCUAGCCGGGUGUUCCUGCCCUGCGGAUGGCAGCGGAGAACCCUGGGGGGCGUUUUUAGCCUGCGGAUCGCCUGGUGCUGCUGAAGCCGCGCUUGAAGACCUAGCUGAGUGUCCUCCCCUGCGGAAGCCUGCGGAGGACCUGGGCGGACUCUUUACCCUGUGGAUUGCGCCGCUGCUGAAGCCGCGCACGGAGACCUAGCUGGGUGUCUUCCCCUGUGGUAGGCUGCGGAGGAUCUGGGUGGCUCUGGAGAUCGCAGGAAUGCUGAAGCCUCGCGCUGAGAUCUAGGCUGAGUGUUCUCCGCUGUGGAUGGCUGCGGAUGACCCGGGCGAGCUCUUUACCCCGCUGAUCUCAGCGCUGCUGAAUCCCCUGCACUGAGACCUAGCUGAGCGUUCCCUACCCUGCAGAUAGCUGUGGAGGACCCCGGCAGGCGUCCUUACCCUGCGGAUUGCCUGGUGCUGCUGAAGCCGGCACUGAGAGCUACCUGGGUGACACUACCCUGCGGUUGGCUGCGGAGGACCUGGUGAGCGUCUUUACUGUGCGGACUGCGGCAAGGGUGCGACUGCGUAUGUUGGUGGGCAUCCUUAUCCUUCAGACGGCGGCAAUUCUGCAGCUGCUCAUUGAGGACAUGAGCUGGCAUCUUUCCCGGUAGGACUGCGGCACGUCUGUAGCCACGCACUAAGGACCUGGGUAGGCGUCAUGACCCUGGGAGCAGCGGCACAGCUGCGACUGCGUAUGGAGGACCCAGGCAGGCUCCUCACUCUGCCGACUGCAGCGCGCCUGUGGUUGUGCACCAAGGACCCACCCAGACAGGCGUUCUUACCCUGUGGACAGCGGCACAGCUGGGGCUGUGCACCCCAAGAUCCAGCUGGGCAUUCUUAUCCUGCCGACUGUGGCACGUCUGUGGCCAGGAGUUUUUAUGGUGUGGACAGCAGCACAGCUGCGGCUGCACACUACGGACCCAGACGGGCGUUCUUGCCUUGUAGACUGUGGCAGGGCGGUGGCGGGGCACCCACGAUGCAGGCGAGUGUAUUACCCUGCGACUGGCAACACAGGCUGCGCAGCCAGGACUCAGGCGGGAGUCCUUACUCUGGGGGAGUCCUUACCCUACGGACUGUGGCACAACUGUGGCUGGCACAAGAACCCAGGUGGGCGUCCUUACCCUGCAGACAGUGGCAGGGCUGCGCAUGGCGGACUCGGGUGAGCCGUCUCAUCCUGUGGACCGUGUUACUGUUGCGGCUGUGCACUCAGGACCUGGUGGGGAUGGGGUGUGUGUGUUCCUCUUCUGCUGACUGUGACUCCGUGCCAGCUGCACGGAGGACCAGGGCAGGUGUCUUUGCUUUGUCAACGACAGCACUGCUGCAGCAGUGCACGAGAACCAGACCUGGAGCCGGGUAGAGGAGGUCCCUCCCCUUCUGACUGCAACACAGCUCCACCUGCAACCUGAGACCUGGGUGAGCAUCUUUGCCCUGCCCCGUGCCAUUGUUCUGGCUAUACACCAGCGACCUGGACAGGUUUUCACAUCUCUAUGCUGGAUGGGCUGGCCCAGCCGGUUGUGCACUGUGAGGUGCUGCAGGAGGAGCUGCGAGGACACAUUCUUCUUGACUUCUCAGCAUAGGAAUGUCUCACGUCCAGUCCACGUCCCUGUCCUAGUCCUCCUCUCUGCUCCUUCCACACUUCCUCACGGUGGUCUCCUGCACGCUCGUGGCUGUCAGUAUCAGACGAGGGCAGCUUCUGCAUUUUCUCAAUUCCAACCACUCCUCUCCACUUACCUACCCAGUAUCUCUACUGGGUGUCUUCCAGUCAUCCUGCACUCAACGCGACUGACAAUUUACUUCCAACCGGCUUUACAAUUUCCCUGACUUUGUUGAUGGCAACUUUUUCCUUCCAGUUGCUUAAGCCAGAUACGUUGGAGUCAUUCUUUACCAUUCUGUUCAACUUCAUACCUAUUCCUCAAGAAUUCUGGUUUCUCUAUCUCUAAAAUGUAUUUGGAAGCAGCUACUUCUUACCUUCUUUUCACGGAUUCAGGUCACCAUUCACACUCACUUGGAUUAUUGCAAUAAUUUCCUAACUGGGUUCCAUGUUUCCAGCUUUUCUGUCUGCAGUCUGUUUUGUUUUCAACAUGUGGCCAGAGGGAUCCUGUUAACAUCUAAGUGAAAUAUAUCAUUUCUCUGCAGUGGCUCCCUAGCUGCUCAGAGUAAAAUCUAAUGUUUUUACAAUGGCCUGAAAGGCUCUCCAUAACCUUAUCCCCUCCCACUUACCUCCCUGUCUCCUCUCCUCCCUCCGACACUCAGCCCCUGUGUAUUUUAGCUAUUGAAAGAAUAUGUGGGCACACUGCUAAUUUAUUGUCUUUGUGGAGGCUUGGUUUGUGCAUUCCUUAUUUCAAACACUUAUGGGUGGACUCUGGUAAUGAGCAGUCAUAUUUAUGAGUCCCCCUCCAAGUGAGGAGAUGUACUAGGUGGAAUGUGCGCCCUCCCUCACGUGGUAUACUCUUGAUACAGAGCCAAGCAGGUAGUACCGUUGGUCCUGCUUUGUAGGUGAGGGAAAGCAGACCCAAAAUGAAGGAAGUUGUCCAGGGUUACAUGCUGGGAAGUGGUGGAGGUAGAAUUCAAACCCGGAGCGCAGGCGUUGUCUGCACCUCGGAGAGGCACCGCUCUUCCUGAAAUGCUCCUCCCUGGUUAUCUAUGAGGCUGAAGUCCUCACCUCUUUCAGGUCUUUGCUGAAUUAGAACCUUCUCCAUAAGGCAAGGCUGAUGCUGAGCACCCCACUGAAAAUUUUCCUCUCUCCCAAGACCCUCUUCUCAGUCCCUCUACUUGGCUCAUUUCAGGUGUCUAGCACGUCACGCCCUUUAAUACAUUUUGCAAGUAUUUCUCCACGAGUGUGAGAAAGUGGUUUUCUUUGGUGGGGGUUGAUUUUUCAUGGCACAUAAAGGGCAGCAGGGUUUCUUUGGGUCCUGUCUGGAGGCCUGAAGGUCACGCUGGGCUUCUGGGGAGCGGGUCCCCUUCCUGCAGCCUCCCUCUCCACUUGCGUGUUUCUCACUCCUCUCUCUCCCUGGGAAGUGUUGCUUGAUAAAGAUGCAGCUUUUAAUUAAUGUAACUGUUCAAGAUUACAGCCGGUCAUCAGCUUUCUAACCAGUGCCUCACAGCUCUGCUGGAAGAGCCUUGCUCCGGUGAUGGUUGAUUUGCCAUUCUCUGUCCCAGCCCAGAGAAGCUCCCCUCACUGUCAACGUGCCAUCUGUCAGGUGCAUGUUAUAAAGCUGUCAUCAUGAUCAGCUCAUUCACGCACCAGCUUUAGCUUUGAGGAACUGCCGGCCAUGGCGUUGAAGACCUGCUGAAGCCUCCAGCCAGACAUCUGAUGUUCAGGUCUCAGGGGGUCCUUGCUGCUUGUGUAGCCUGACAGGUGUGGCCACGGCAGGCACACCAUGGUUUGGAGUUUGGAAAGAAGAGACCCUGUGUUAUUGUAGAGUGACCACUGGAUUGGGCUUCUGGAAAUCCAAUUCUAAUCAGACUUGGGUUAUGCAUUUACUAUUUCAAUAAAACAUUUAUGGAUGGACUCUGGUAAUCAACAGCCAUAUUUUUGAGUACCCACUGCAGGUGAGGAAAUAAAUGUACUAGGUGCGAUAUA